AUUUUUAUUGGUUUUUU
Molecule: small RNA, 17 nt
Filed under: Arabidopsis thaliana (thale cress)
Lineage: Eukaryota; Viridiplantae; Streptophyta; Magnoliopsida; Brassicales; Brassicaceae
Description: ATSL180180
Source: RNAcentral